RNAcentral lists this ribosomal RNA (388 nucleotides) under uncultured Desulfobulbus sp. RNAcentral describes it as "bacterial SSU rRNA". It matches the Rfam family "Bacterial small subunit ribosomal RNA", at positions 999 to 1382 of the family's 1533-position model. The record is from RNAcentral. Lineage: Bacteria; Pseudomonadati; Thermodesulfobacteriota; Desulfobulbia; Desulfobulbales; Desulfobulbaceae.
UUAGGAACUAGGGGUGCUUCCAUCUGGAAGAAUCUGGAGACAGGUGCUGCAUGGCUGUCGUCAGCUCGUGUCGUGAGAUGUUGGGUUAAGUCCCGCAACGAGCGCAACCCUUGCCUUUAGUUGCCAGCAGUUCGGCUGGGCACGUCUAAAGGGACUGCCGGUGUUAAACCGGAGGAAGUGGGGAUGACGUCAAGUCCUCAUGGCCUUUAUGACCAGGGCUACACACGUACUACAAUGGCCGAUACAAAGGGCAGCGACACUGCGAGGUGAAGCCAAUCCCGUAAAAUACGGUCUCAGUCCGGAUUGGAGUCUGCAACUCGACUCCAUGAAGUUGGAAUCGCUAGUAAUCGUGGAUCAGCAUGCCACGGUGAAUACGUUCCCGGGCCUU